This is a long non-coding RNA of Bos grunniens (domestic yak), 800 nucleotides long. The record is from Ensembl. Lineage: Eukaryota; Metazoa; Chordata; Mammalia; Artiodactyla; Bovidae.
UCCUCAGAUAAAGGUUUGUUUUCUUUCAAUUUUCAUUCAUCUGAAAAUUUGGAAUUAUUUUCCCUCAAGUCUCUCUCUUUCGUGAGAGACUUCUUUACAAAACUACAGCUGAUCACUGUCUUCUCCCCUUUGCCUAAUCUAGUGCCUAGCAGAGAGCAGGGGCUCAAAAAUAUUUGUUAGAAAUAUAAAGGAAAGCAAAGGAUACAUGAGAUGACUUCAUAUAGAGGCUUGCCACUCCCUCUGUGGAUACAUGGGGCUGAUCAUGUCCAUGUGAUUUCCAGGGGAAUAAUAAUUUUACAUUGAAAUUGAUUACUUUCCUUUUUAAAGAAAAACUGAAGAAAAAAAAGAGAUGCAAUUGAGAAUGUGGUAUUAGAAACCUGUCACUGUUUUGGCCACGCAGUAACCACAUGUCCUUGGAUACUGAUUAAGUCUUCUGAGAGGAUGGGGAAUGAGCAGAGAAAUCUGUGUGCUUUGUCUUGAGCGUCAUAUACUGGUGGUUUAAUACGUGGCUUAUUGUGUGAAAAAAACACACCCCGGUUUGUAGUGUUUGCCAGUUUCCAUGGUGUGAAUUCUGUCAUCAGAGACACAAUGUGACGUCUAUGAAUGUGAACUUGGGAGGAUAUGAUGACAGUUGGCUCUCGUGACCCAGCAGGAGCCAAGUUCAGCACAUCCCAGGUUAUGAGCAGGCAAGUUAACGGAAGAGGCUUCAGAAUUCUGUAAACAUCGGUCGCUGAAAGCCUCAAGCGAGCUAUCAUCUGCUGCCACACACAUGCUCUAUAUACAGUUCAUCUUGGAAAGCA